UACGAACCGAGCGAACGUUGUUCGGAAUCACUGGGCUUAAAGGGUGCGUAGGCGGCGCGGUAAGUGGGGUGUGAAAUCCCUCAGCUCAACUGAGGAACUGCGCUCCAAACUACCGUGCUUGAGUGAGACAGAGGUAAGCGGAACUUCGGGUGGAGCGGUGAAAUGUGUUGAUAUCCGAAGGAACACCGGUGGCGAAAGCGGCUUACUGGGUCUCAACUGACGCUGAUGCACGAAAGCUAGGGUAGCAAACGGG
Molecule: ribosomal RNA, 253 nt
Filed under: uncultured bacterium
Lineage: Bacteria
Description: partial 16S ribosomal RNA
Rfam family: Bacterial small subunit ribosomal RNA
Source: RNAcentral